CGGCGAGUGGCGGACGGGUGAGUAAAGCAUAGGAAUCUACCCUAUAGUGGGGGAUAACCUGGGGAAACCUGGGCUAAUACCGCAUACGUUCUGAGGAAGAAAGUUAGGGGCAACUCUGACGCUNNNGGAUGAGCCUAUGUCUGAUUAGCUAGUUGGUUAGGUAAAGGCUGACCAAGGCUAUGAUCGGUAACUGGUCUGAGAGGACGGACAGUCACACUGGGACUGAGACACGGCCCAGACUCCUACGGGAGGCAGCAGUGGGGAAUAUUGGACAAUGGGGGCAACCCUGAUCCAGCGAUGCCGCGUGUGUGAAGAAGGCCUGCGGGUUGUAAAGCACUUUUAUUGGGGAAGAGUGAUGUGGUGGUGAAUAGCCAUUGCAUUUGACGGUACCCAAGGAAUAAGCACCGGCUAACUCUGUGCCAGCAGCCGCGGUAAUACAGAGGGUGCGAGCGUUAAUCGGAAUUACUGGGCGUAAAGGGCGCGUAGGCGGGCUAGUAAGUCAGAUGUGAAAGUCCUGGGCUUAACCUGGGGAUUGCAUUUGAAACUGCUGGUCUGGAGUGAAGUAGAGGGUGGCGGAAUUUCCGGUGUAGCGGUGAAAUGCGU
Molecule: ribosomal RNA, 603 nt
Filed under: uncultured bacterium
Lineage: Bacteria
Description: bacterial SSU rRNA
Rfam family: Bacterial small subunit ribosomal RNA
Source: RNAcentral